Molecule: long non-coding RNA, 505 nt
Organism: Ruditapes philippinarum (Manila clam)
Lineage: Eukaryota; Metazoa; Mollusca; Bivalvia; Venerida; Veneridae
Exons: 4
Source: RefSeq, a predicted model, not a curated record
AAAAAAUCUAUUUAUAGAAUCUAACGCACGCACCUCUCAUACCAUAUCAUAUAAAAGCCAUUUUCACAACUAGCAGUUCCAUUCUGACAAUUUGUUGCCUAAAGGACGUCAUAUAAACAUGUACGUGAAGAUAGCCUUUCUUUUAGUUGUCUGUAUCGGCAUCUCUGCGGCAGAAGACUGUAUCAACACGGAUACCACAACAUGCGGACAUUUAAUGUGUGCACCCGGAUUUACGCCAACUUGUGAAUCAAAUAUUUGCACAUGUAACACAGCUCCCGACCAAUCAGCGUGCAAUAGCUUGGAUGACUGCCAUAAUUACUGGUUUGGAAAUCACUGUAGACAUAAUAGCAGACAUUGUAUCGAUGGCCAUUGUGAAUGUCGACGUCUUAAUUGAUAUGGAUGUCAUGAUCCUGAACAUUCAACACAUGGGAUUUUAUAUUCAGGGAAUAUUGAUAUUUAUUAAGAAAAUAAAUUUGUAAAAAAUGAAAUGAAUUCCGGGACCUUA